Molecule: ribosomal RNA, 387 nt
Filed under: uncultured bacterium
Lineage: Bacteria
Description: bacterial SSU rRNA
Rfam family: Bacterial small subunit ribosomal RNA
Source: RNAcentral
GACGAACGCUGGCGGCGCGCUUAACACAUGCAAGUCGAGCGAGAACCAGGGCUUCGGCCCUGGGGACAGCGGCGAACGGGUGAGUAACACGUGGAUAACCUGCCCUCGGCACCGGGAUAGCCCGGGGAAACUCGGAUUAAUACCGGAUAGCCCUUUCGGCUUUCGAGCCGGUCGGAAAAGGUAGCUUCGGCCUCUGGCCGAGGAUGGGUCCGCGGCGGAUUAGCUUGUUGGUGGGGUAAUGGCCUACCAAGGCACCGAUCCGUAGCUGGUCUGAGAGGACGAUCAGCCACACUGGGACUGAGACACGGCCCAGACUCCUACGGGAGGCAGCAGUGGGGAAUCUUGCGCAAUGGGCGAAAGCCUGACGCAGCGACGCCGCGUGAGGGA